GCUGCUUCCAAUCGACCCUCGGCGCAUAGGAUAGAAUGAAAAGCUGCAUUGGAACAAAGACAGAAUUAGGUACCAAAGCAUGACAAAACAAAAUAAUACAGCAUAAGUAAUCCCGCAGAGAUAGCGUAUUCAGUGAAGGAUAUGAAAAACAAAAUCAAAAACAAAAAUAAAAAUAAAAGAGCAUUAGUAAGUCCAGCAGAAAUAACAUAAAUAAUUAUCUAAACAUAAGAACCAUAAAUAGCAUGCAAUAAUAUCAGACAGCAACUACCAUAAAUAACUACCAUAAGGGAGAC
This 293-nucleotide long non-coding RNA is filed under the name Nicotiana benthamiana. Its description in RNAcentral is "long non-coding RNA (NBEN_LNC023182)". The record is from RNAcentral. Lineage: Eukaryota; Viridiplantae; Streptophyta; Magnoliopsida; Solanales; Solanaceae.